RNAcentral lists this ribosomal RNA (256 nucleotides) under uncultured bacterium. RNAcentral's name for it is "partial 16S ribosomal RNA". It matches the Rfam family "Bacterial small subunit ribosomal RNA", at positions 524 to 777 of the family's 1533-position model. The record is from RNAcentral.
UACGAAGGGGGCUAGCGUUGUUCGGAAUUACUGGGCGUAAAGCGUAUGCAGGCGGAUCGUUAAGUCGGGGGUGAAAUCCCGAGGCUCAACCUCGGAACUGCCUUCGAUACUGGCGACCUUCGAGUCCGGGAGAGGUGAGUGGAACUCCGAGUGUAGAGGUGAAAUUCGUAGAUAUUCGGAAGAACACCAGUGGCGAAGGCGGCUCACUGGCCCGGGUACUGACGCUGAGAUACGAAAGCGUGGGGAGCAAACAGGG